RNAcentral lists this ribosomal RNA (301 nucleotides) under uncultured bacterium. RNAcentral describes it as "partial 16S ribosomal RNA". It matches the Rfam family "Bacterial small subunit ribosomal RNA", at positions 509 to 807 of the family's 1533-position model. The record is from RNAcentral.
CAGUCGCCACGGUAAUACGAAGGGUGCAAGCGUUAAUCGGAAUUACUGGGCGUAAAGCGUGCGUAGGCGGUGAGUUAAGUCUGCUGUGAAAUCCCCGGGCUCAACCUGGGAACUGCGCUUGUGACUGCACAGCUAGAGUAUGGCAGAGGGGGGUGGAAUUCCACGUGCAGCAGUGAAAUGCGUAGAGAUGUGGAGGAACACCGAUGGCGAAGGCAGCCCCCUGGGCCAAUACUGACGCUCAUGCACGAAAGCGUGGGGAGCAAACAGGAUUAGAUACCCCAGUAGUCCCUGUCUCUUAUAC